CUCCGACAGAAAAUGAUGUGAUGAUUGAGUAUUCACAUGCAUGUGUGAGAUGUGUCACUCUCAAACCUUAUUGCAACAUGGGCACAUUACUCAUCUGACA
This 100-nucleotide small nucleolar RNA is filed under the name Macaca fascicularis (crab-eating macaque). Its description in RNAcentral is "Small nucleolar RNA U13 (ENSMFAG00000061250.1)". The stretch from base 18 to 100 matches the Rfam family "Small nucleolar RNA U13", at positions 22 to 104 of the family's 104-position model. The record is from Rfam by way of RNAcentral. Lineage: Eukaryota; Metazoa; Chordata; Mammalia; Primates; Cercopithecidae.